This 84-nucleotide microRNA precursor is filed under the name Bombyx mori (domestic silkworm). RNAcentral describes it as "mir-2807 microRNA precursor family". It matches the Rfam family "mir-2807 microRNA precursor family". The record is from Rfam by way of RNAcentral. Lineage: Eukaryota; Metazoa; Arthropoda; Insecta; Lepidoptera; Bombycidae.
CUAAUUCAAAUUUGUUUGCAGUUUGAACGCGUGCCUACGUCAGUCGCUAAGGGCGCAGUUCCAAUUGCAUACAAAUUUGAGUUA